UACGGAGGGUGCAAGCGUUAUUCGGAAUUAUUGGGCGUAAAGGGAGCGUAGGCGGUCUUUUAAGUCAGAUGUGAAAGCCCGGGGCUUAACCCCGGAAGUGCAUUUGAAACUAAGGGACUUGAGUAUGGGAGAGGGAAGUGGAAUUCCUGGUGUAGAGGUGAAAUUCGUAGAUAUCAGGAGGAACACCGGUGGCGAAGGUGACUUCCUGGACCAAUACUGACGCUGAGGCGCGAAGGCGUGGGGAGCAAACAGG
This 253-nucleotide ribosomal RNA is filed under the name uncultured bacterium. RNAcentral describes it as "partial 16S ribosomal RNA". It matches the Rfam family "Bacterial small subunit ribosomal RNA", at positions 524 to 776 of the family's 1533-position model. The record is from RNAcentral.